CGGUGGCGAAGGCGGCCCCCUGGACGAAGACUGACGCUCAGGUGCGAAAGCGUGGGGAGCAAACAGGAUUAGAUACCCUGGUAGUCCACGCCGUAAACGAUGUCGACUUGGAGGUUGUGCCCUUGAGGCGUGGCUUCCGGAGCUAACGCGUUAAGUCGACCGCCUGGGGAGUACGGCCGCAAGGUUAAAACUCAAAUGAAUUGACGGGGGCCCGCACAAGCGGUGGAGCAUGUGGUUUAAUUCGAUGCAACGCGAAGAACCUUACCUGGUCUUGACAUCCACGGAAGUUUUCAGAGAUGAGAAUGUGCCUUCGGGAACCGUGAGACAGGUGCUGCAUGGCUGUCGUCAGCUCGUGUUGUGAAAUGUUGGGUUAAGUCCCGCAACGAGCGCAACCCUUAUCCUUUGUUGCCAGCGGUCCGGCCGGGAACUCAAAGGAGACUGCCAGUGAUAAACUGGAGGAAGGUGGGGAUGACGUCAAGUCAUCAUGGCCCUUACGACCAGGGCUACACACGUGCUACAAUGGCGCAUACAAAGAGAAGCGACCUCGCGAGAGCAAGCGGACCUCAUAAAGUGCGUCGUAGUCCGGAUUGGAGUCUGCAACUCGACUCCAUGAAGUCGGAAUCGCUAGUAAUCGUGGAUCAGAAUGCCACGGUGAAUACGUUCCCGGGCCUUGUACACACCGCCCGUCACACCAUGGGAGUGGGUUGCAAAAGAAGUAGGUAGCUUAACCUUCGGGAGGGCGCUUACCACUUUGUGAUUCAUGACUGGGGUGAAGUCGUAACAAGGUAACCGUAGGGGAACCUGCGGUUGGAUCACCUCCUUACCUUAAAGAAGC
Molecule: ribosomal RNA, 835 nt
Filed under: Shigella flexneri
Lineage: Bacteria; Pseudomonadati; Pseudomonadota; Gammaproteobacteria; Enterobacterales; Enterobacteriaceae
Also listed under: 1 other name
Description: bacterial SSU rRNA
Rfam family: Bacterial small subunit ribosomal RNA
Source: RNAcentral